Long non-coding RNA from Juglans microcarpa x Juglans regia, 381 nucleotides. RefSeq lists it as uncharacterized. The transcript is spliced from 2 exons. NCBI's taxonomy places the organism in Eukaryota, Viridiplantae, Streptophyta, Magnoliopsida, Fagales, Juglandaceae. The record is from RefSeq and is a predicted model, not a curated record.
AAAUAGGUACUCACAAGCGUCUGUCUUUUAACGGCCAUUUUUAAAUCUUGCCGCAAAAUGACUUCAUGUGUUUUCCCCUGAAGUUUUAGCGAGAAUCAUGCCAUUUUAGUGUCAUUACAUGACAUUUAAGGGAAAAGGGAUAAUGCAAUCACUUGCUUAUAAGGUAUUAAAUAAGAAGAAGAAGAAGAAGAAAAUGGGUAUCUCUAUGAAGCUUCAAUUCAGCCUGUAACUACACAUUGGACACAAGAAGAAGACGAAGAAGAAGAAGCAGGGAGCAGAGCAGAAACUAUACAAAAGGGUGCCUGAAAAAGAGAUCAAGAAGAUGCAAGCAAUAAAAGAACUAUGGAAGGAGGCCCAAAAAAGGAAUGAGAUUUCCAUAAA